UGGAUGCCUGAAGUGUAGACUGCUGC
Molecule: non-coding RNA, 26 nt
Filed under: Homo sapiens (human)
Lineage: Eukaryota; Metazoa; Chordata; Mammalia; Primates; Hominidae
Source: RNAcentral